This 490-nucleotide ribosomal RNA is filed under the name uncultured bacterium. RNAcentral describes it as "partial 16S ribosomal RNA". It matches the Rfam family "Bacterial small subunit ribosomal RNA", at positions 29 to 507 of the family's 1533-position model. The record is from RNAcentral.
AGUGAACGCUGGCGGCAGGCCUAAUACAUGCAAGUCGAACGGCAGCACAGUGGAGCUUGCUCCAUGGGUGGCGAGUGGCGGACGGGUGAGGAAUACAUGGGAAUCUGCCCAGUCGUGGGGGAUAACGUAGGGAAACUUACGCUAAUACCGCAUGCGCCCUUCGGGGGAAAGCCGGGGACCUUCGGGCCUGGCGCGAUUGGAUGAGCCCAUGUUCGAUUAGCUAGUUGGCGGGGUAAAGGCCCACCAAGGCGACGAUCGAUAGCUUGUCUGAGAGGAUGAUUAGCCACAAUUGGAACUAGAAAAGGCCCAGAACCCCAAGGGAGGUAGCAGGAGGGAAUAUUUGAAAAGGGGGGCAAGCCCUAACCAGGCAAGGCCGCGGAGGUAAGAAGGCCCCUGGGGUUGAAAGCUCUUUUGUCCGGGAAGAAAAGCAUCGGGCUAAUACCUCGGUGUUCUGACGGUACCGGAAGAAUAAGCACCGGCUAACUUCGUG